ACUAGUGAUUUCCGUAGGUGAACCUGCGGAAGGAUCAUUAACACGAAUAUCCAUUUUACACCUUAAUCUUAAACGUGGUGGAGCUCUUCGGAGUAACACCAUCCUGAUUACCGGGUUACUCUCAAGUGUGACUUAGGUCUUCGAGCGUUUAACCUUUUUUCAACCACACCUGUGACUGAAAUAUUAUUCAUCUGUAUCACAACUUUUAACGGUGGAUGCCUCGGCUUGAGCAUCGAUGAAGGACGCAGCAAAAUGCGAUAAGCACUGCGAAUGGCAGAAUUUCGAGAAUCAAUAGAAUGCUGAACGCAUACUGCACUUUUGGGUCACUCCGAAAGUAUGUUUGCUUCAGGGCGUUUAUACUUUAAUGCAAUCUGAUAUGCUAGUUCGUCUAGCUUCAGUAUUCGCGUUUUUGUGUGUCAGCGUCUGUAAAGCGCUAUCGCGCCGCUGACACAUCAAAUUAAGUAGUUGGCUUCAACUAAUCAAGCUACCGCUUUGUGUUGGAUUUCGGUUCUCAUAAGUGGCAGUAGAUCUGAAGCUGAUAAGGCUACGCUUUAUGAUAAAUUAUUUUCGCAUGAAGUCAAACAGGGCUACACGCUGAAUUUAAGCAUAUCAAU
RNAcentral lists this ribosomal RNA (614 nucleotides) under uncultured eukaryote. RNAcentral describes it as "eukaryotic LSU rRNA". The stretch from base 201 to 354 matches the Rfam family "5.8S ribosomal RNA". The record is from RNAcentral.